CAAGCUACCUUGCUAUGACUUUUGAGAUGUUACUCAGAUGGGUUAGUCGAAACUAAUUAGACCUAAAAAAAGCAGUUAAAUACCUAGUUAAAUUAUAAUAAAAUUAUAAAAUAAAGAAUAACUACACUAACUAUUCAAAUAAAUGAAUAAUCAUAUCAAUUUUCUUUUCAUUUAUUAAUUUAACCUUUGAUUUUUCUUACCUUUUUAAGAUAAGCUUUUUAAGGUUAAGAAGAUUUAUUAAGUUUAUUUAUCGCGGAAGCGGUAAAUUUAUAGUUAAAUAUAAAAAAUAAAAUACUCCUUACUACUAAGCCCUACCAAAGGUAGGCAAUAAAUUAGUAAAUAAAUAAAUAAAUAGAAAGAGACAUAUAGAUAAUAAACCAAUAUUUUUAUUAUUUAUAAUGUUUUACCUUAGUUAAAGAUAGACUUCGCGGCGCUUUCCCCCAAGCUGAAUUUCUCCCCAGCGACAGACGGUUAG
This 475-nucleotide ribosomal RNA is filed under the name Hebeloma velutipes. RNAcentral describes it as "partial small subunit ribosomal RNA". Lineage: Eukaryota; Fungi; Basidiomycota; Agaricomycetes; Agaricales; Hymenogastraceae. The record is from RNAcentral.